CCUACGGGAGGCAGCAGUGAGGAAUAUUGGUCAAUGGACGCAAGUCUGAACCAGCCAUGCCGCGUGCAGGAAGACGGCUCUAUGAGUUUUAAACUGCUUUUGUACGAGGGUAAACGCAGAUACGCGUAUCUGUCUGAAAGUAUCGUACGAAUAAGGAUCGGCUAACUCCGUGCCAGCAGCCGCGGUAAUACGGGGGAUUCAAGCGUUAUCCGGAGUUAUUGGGUGUAAAGGGUGCGUAGGCGGUCGGAUAAGUUAGAUGUGAAAUCCCGAGGCUCAAACUCGGAAUUGCCUCUGAUACUGUUCGGCGAGAGAGUAGUUGCGGUAGGCGGAAUGUAUGGUGUAGCGGUGAAAUGCUUAGAGAUCAUACAGAACACCAAUUGCGAAGGCAGCUUACCAAGCUACUUCUGACGUUGAGGCACGAAAGCGUGGGGAGCAAACAGGAUUAGAUACCCGAGUAGUC
RNAcentral lists this ribosomal RNA (460 nucleotides) under uncultured bacterium. Its description in RNAcentral is "partial 16S ribosomal RNA". It matches the Rfam family "Bacterial small subunit ribosomal RNA", at positions 338 to 795 of the family's 1533-position model. The record is from RNAcentral.